Molecule: ribosomal RNA, 253 nt
Filed under: uncultured bacterium
Lineage: Bacteria
Description: partial 16S ribosomal RNA
Rfam family: Bacterial small subunit ribosomal RNA
Source: RNAcentral
UACGGAGGGUGCAAGCGUUAUCCGGAUUCACUGGGUUUAAAGGGCGCGCAGGCGGAUUAGUAAGUCAGUGGUGAAAGCCUCGAGCUUAACUCGGGAACUGCCAUUGAUACUAUUAGUCUUGAAUGUUGUUGAGGUUUGCGGAAUGGGUCAUGUAGCGGUGAAAUGCAUAGAUAUGACCCGGAACACCUAUUGCGAAGGCAGCAGGCUAAACAAAUAUUGACGCUGAGGCUCGAAAGCGUGGGGAUCAAACAGG